GGUCAGAGUCUCCCAGAACUCGCCCAAACGUUUCUGCUGUGUGUGCUCUGGGGCAUGUCUCUCUUUGCCUCUUGGAUCUCAGGCCAAUGAGGAAAUAGAGUGCAGAUGAUGGCUUUGUUCAACUCACUAAGCCCUUCCUCCUGUGUUCAGCCAACGUUUGCAGAAGACUGCCGUCUUUUACCAUCAGAAACAGAUGCUGUCAUGCUCACUGCCAUGGCUUAUUUUGAAUUCCAGCAACUAACACCCCUUUGGCUUUUCCUCAAAAAUAAAAGUCACAGUUUAAAUUCA
Molecule: long non-coding RNA, 288 nt
Organism: Capra hircus (goat)
Lineage: Eukaryota; Metazoa; Chordata; Mammalia; Artiodactyla; Bovidae
Exons: 3
Source: RefSeq, a predicted model, not a curated record